AACUAGAUAACAAAGUAGCCGUAUUUGCUGAGAAGACAUUGUUCCAAUUUAACACUAGUAUUGUUGUUACUGAUGUUAUGAUCGCUCUGCUGCUGUCUCACACAGCCUUAGCCAAAGUAGCAUUGUUGAAUCUUCCUCCCCUCCGUCGCAUUUACCACGAGCACCACCGUCUCUUUUCCUUACUCUUAACAUCCCCAACCAUCAUUUCAUAAAAAGUAAAUAUUUGAUCACAUGACUCUAAUAGUAAACAAUGGGUGGUGAAAUUCAG
This 268-nucleotide long non-coding RNA is filed under the name Ricinus communis (castor bean). RNAcentral's name for it is "long non-coding RNA (RCOM_LNC002126)". The record is from RNAcentral. Lineage: Eukaryota; Viridiplantae; Streptophyta; Magnoliopsida; Malpighiales; Euphorbiaceae.